GCAUCGAUGAAGAACGCAGCGAAACGCGAUAGGUAAUGUGAAUUGCAGAAUUCCGUGAAUCAUCGAAUCUUUGAACGCACCUUGCGCUCCAUGGCAUUCCGUGGAGCAUGCCUGUUUGAGUGCCGCGAAAUCUCCCACCCCUAGCGGUUGCCGCAAGGCGCCGCCGGGCGGCGGGGUUGGUUGGGUGCCGCUGCCUGGGCUUUGGCCCAGGCUCGCCCGAAAUGCAUGAGCGCUUAGCACUCGCACCGUCUCGAGGGAAGGCGGCGGAGCUGGCAUCUGCGCAUGGCAUGAUACGUCAUUUGCUGUGUGGCAGCCCAGCGACCCGAGAGUGUGUGUGCGCUACUACACGCCCUUUCAUUUCUGGUCUCAAAUCGGGUAGGAUCACCCGCUGAACUUAAGCAUAUCAAUAAGCGGAGGAA
This 419-nucleotide ribosomal RNA is filed under the name uncultured fungus. RNAcentral's name for it is "eukaryotic LSU rRNA". The stretch from base 1 to 125 matches the Rfam family "5.8S ribosomal RNA", at positions 30 to 154 of the family's 154-position model. The record is from RNAcentral. Lineage: Eukaryota; Fungi.